AAGAUCGCUAAGGCAAUCGCAUACUGUUGAUUUUUUACUGUAUGAGGAAAGUCCGGACACUAAAUAAGAUACGUGCCAUCUGAAGAAGAUGGACACUUUAAAGUGAUGGAAAGUGCCACAGAAAAUAACCGCCUGUAAAAACGGUAAGGGUGAAAAAGUAUGGUAAGAACAUACAGUUGGCUUAGGUAACUCAGCCAAUGGGUAAACCCCACGUGGUGCAAGGCAAAAUAGUGCGGAGGGUGCUUAUUCCUGUCGAUGUACGGGUAUGCCGCAAAGAUAGAUGAUUGCCACCUUGAAAAAGGGACAGAAUCCGGCUUAUGAAGCGAUCUUUAUG
Molecule: RNase P RNA, 334 nt
Filed under: bacterium
Lineage: Bacteria
Description: RNase P RNA component class A
Rfam family: Bacterial RNase P class A
About the family: Ribonuclease P (RNase P) is a ubiquitous endoribonuclease, found in archaea, bacteria and eukarya as well as chloroplasts and mitochondria. Its best characterised activity is the generation of mature 5'-ends of tRNAs by cleaving the 5'-leader elements of precursor-tRNAs.
Source: RNAcentral